This 1517-nucleotide ribosomal RNA is filed under the name uncultured rumen bacterium. Its description in RNAcentral is "bacterial SSU rRNA". It matches the Rfam family "Bacterial small subunit ribosomal RNA". The record is from RNAcentral.
AGAGUUUGAUCCUGGCUCAGUGUAUGGCUGGCGGCGUGCCUAACACAUGCAAGUCGAACGGGGAUUUGUUACGGCAGAAUCCUAGGGGCGAACGGGUGAGUAACGCGUAAGCGACCUGCCCUCCGGGCGGGGCCUACACUCCGAAAGGGGUGCUAAUACCGGAUACGAAGUCUGUGCCGCAUGGUACGGAUUUGAAAGAUGGCCUCUAUUUAUAAGCUAUCGCCGGGGGAUGGGCCUGCGUCCGAUUAGCUGGUUGGUGGGGUAACGGCCUACCAAGGCGACAAUCGGUAGCCGGUCUGAGAGGAUGAACGGCCACAUUGGGACUGAGACACGGCCCACACUCCUACGGGAGGGGGCAGUGGGGAAUCUUCCGCAAUGGGCGCAAGCCUGACGGAGCAACGCCCCGUGAGUGAGGAAGUUCUUCGGAACGUAAAGCUCUGUUGUUCCUGACGAACCUCCCCUCUAUCAACAACGGAAGGGACUGACUGUAGGGAACGAGGAAGCCACGGCUAACUACGUGCCAGCAGCCGCGGUAAUACUUAGGUGGCAAGCGUUGUCCGGAAUUAUUGGGCGUAGAGCGCAUGUAGGCGGUAAUUUAAGUCUGUCGUGAAACUGCGGGGCUCAGCCCCGUAUGGCGAUGGAAACUGGGUUACUUGAGUGCAGGAGAGGAAAGGGGAACUCCCAGUGUAGCGGUGAAAUGCGUAGAUAUUGGGAAGAACACCGGUGGCGAAGGCGCCUUUCUGGACUGUGUCUGACGCUGAGAUGCGAAAGCCAGGGUAGCGAACGGGAUUAGAUACCCCGGUAGUCCUGGCCGUAAACGAUGGAUACUAGGUGUGGGAGGUAUCGACUCCUUCCGUGCGGGAGUUAACGCAAUAAUAUUCCCCGCCUGGGGAGUACGGUCCCCAAGACUUAAACUCAAAGGAAUUGACGGGGGCCCGCCCAAGCGGUGGAGUAUGUGGUUUAAUUGGACGCAACGGGAAGACCCUAACCAGGGCUUGACAUCGUCUGAAAGAAGCAGAGAUGUAUCCCUCUCUUGGGAGACAGGAAGCCAGGUGGUCCAUGUCGGUCUUCACCUCCUGUCUUAAGAUGUUGGGUUAAGUCCCGCACGGGGGGCAAAAAAAAAAAAAAAUGUUCCCAUCAUUAAGUUGGGCACUCAUAGGAGACUGCCAGGGACAACAAGGAGGAAGGCGGGGAUGACGUCAAGUCAUCAUGCCCCUUAUGUCCUGGGCUACACACGUACUACAAUGGCCGGCAACAGAGGGAAGAGAAGCCGCGAGGCGGAGCGAACCCCAAAAACUCGGUCCCAGUUCGGAUCCCAGGCUGCAACCCCCCUCCGUGAAGUCGGAAUCGCUAGUAAUCGCAGGUCACCAUACUCCGGUGAAUACGUUCCCGGUCCUGGUACCCCCCCCCCGUCCCCCCUCGAAAGUUGGUAACCCCCGAAUCCGGUGGGGUACCCGUAAGGAGCCAGCAGUCUAAGGCGGGGCCGAUGAUUGGGGUGAAGUCGUAACAAGGUAACC